Molecule: unclassified non-coding RNA, 508 nt
Filed under: Hevea brasiliensis (rubber tree)
Lineage: Eukaryota; Viridiplantae; Streptophyta; Magnoliopsida; Malpighiales; Euphorbiaceae
Source: RNAcentral
AAAAAACAUGAAAAAAUUAUGAUUCCACAAUUACUAUUGCCCUAAUACAUAAAUUUGCCCUCAAACUUUAUGGAAAAGGUAUAAUGCUGCCUUAUAAUUUCAUUUAAACGUAUUACACCGCUUUUGCUUUAUUUUUAUAAGGAAGAUUGUUAAGUGGCCAAGUCCAUGAUACGUUACUUUUACUUGUACUAAUGUUAAGAGAAUGUUGAUCUCUCUUUUUGAACUUUUGACAUGUUAAAUUUUUAACCUUUUAUUUUCUCUCUUCCUAAUGCUCGAUAUGCACAUAGGGAGAAAGCAAGGAAACUACAUUAGGUUAAGGAAUUUCAACAAAUUCUUUGUGGGCAUUAUUUUAUUAACACUCAACGUAGAUCAAUAAAGGCAAUCCCAUGAUGACAAUCGCCACAUUCAAAUAAAAAACUAGCAGGAAAAAAGAAAGUAUUAUAGAGAGAGACGUGAUAAGCUAUGUUAAAUUUGGAGAAAGUAUUGGUCAAAUUACAAUUUAAUUUAU